Molecule: transfer RNA, 71 nt
Filed under: Agapornis fischeri
Lineage: Eukaryota; Metazoa; Chordata; Aves; Psittaciformes; Psittacidae
Also listed under: 2 other names
Description: tRNA-Trp
Rfam family: tRNA
About the family: Transfer RNA (tRNA) molecules are approximately 80 nucleotides in length. Their secondary structure includes four short double-helical elements and three loops (D, anti-codon, and T loops).
Source: RNAcentral
AGAAACUUAGGAUAAUAUUAAACCAAAGGCCUUCAAAGCCUUAAACAAGAGUUAAACUCUCUUAGUUUCUG